This 399-nucleotide ribosomal RNA is filed under the name uncultured bacterium. RNAcentral describes it as "bacterial SSU rRNA". It matches the Rfam family "Bacterial small subunit ribosomal RNA", at positions 358 to 774 of the family's 1533-position model. The record is from RNAcentral.
GGAAUAUUGCGCAAUGGGGGAAACCCUGACGCAGCAACGCCGCGUGAGUGAAGAAGUAUUUCGGUAUGUAAAGCUCUAUCAGCAGGGACGAAAAUGACGGUACCUGCAGAAGAAGUCCCGGCUAACUACGUGCCAGCAGCCGCGGUAAUACGUAGGGGACAAGCGUUAUCCGGAUUUACUGGGUGUAAAGGGAGCGUAGGCGGCAAAGCAAGUCAGAAGUGAAAGCCCGCGGCUCAACUGCGGGACUGCUUUUGAAACUGUUUAGCUAGAGUACUGGAGGGGCAAGCGGAAUUCCUGGUGUAGCGGUGAAAUGCGUAGAUAUCAGGAAGAACACCGGAGGCGAAGGCGGCUUGCUGGACAGAUACUGACGCUGAGGCUCGAAGGCGUGGGGAGCAAACA